GUUCCUCUAUACUCGUAGGAACCUUUAUAAUAACGUUGGAGUUGUUGCACUGCGUUAUAUCAAGAUAUACGAGUGAAGGGAGCCCAGGAAUUUCAGCCGAUAUAGUAUUAAGUGGGUUAUCACGCAGAACUAAAUGUCUCAAAGACGGCAAAUGAAGAUCCGUGGUAAAUUUACCAUCUGAUAAAUUGCAGUUUGGAAGGAUUAAAUGGGUCAAAGAACGUGGAAGAAAAGCAGAUGAAAA
RNAcentral lists this unclassified non-coding RNA (241 nucleotides) under Hevea brasiliensis (rubber tree). Lineage: Eukaryota; Viridiplantae; Streptophyta; Magnoliopsida; Malpighiales; Euphorbiaceae. The record is from RNAcentral.